RNAcentral lists this ribosomal RNA (446 nucleotides) under uncultured bacterium. RNAcentral describes it as "partial 16S ribosomal RNA". It matches the Rfam family "Bacterial small subunit ribosomal RNA", at positions 338 to 795 of the family's 1533-position model. The record is from RNAcentral.
CCUACGGGGGGCAGCAGUCGAGAAUCAUUCACAAUGGGGGAAACCCUGAUGGUGCGACGCCGCGUGGGGGAAUGAAGGUCUUCGGAUUGUAAACCCCUGUCAUGUGGGAGCAAAUUAAAAAGAUAGUACCACAAGAGGAAGAGACGGCUAACUCUGUGCCAGCAGCCGCGGUAAUACAGAGGUCUCAAGCGUUGUUCGGAAUCACUGGGCGUAAAGCGUGCGGAGGCUGUUUCGUAAGUCGUGUGUGAAAGGCGCGGGCUCAACCCGCGGACGGCACAUGAUACUGGGAGACUAGAGUAAUGGAGGGGGAACCGGAAUUCUCGGUGUAGCAGUGAAAUGCGGAGAUAUCGAGAGGAACACUCGUGGCGAAGGCGGGUUCCUGGACAUUAACUGACGCUGAGGCACGAAGGCCAGGGGAGCGAAAGGGAUUAGAUACCCCGGUAGUC